GAUGAACGCUGGCGGCGUGCCUAAUACAUGCAAGUCGAGCGAACAGACGAGGAGCUUGCUCCUCUGACGUUAGCGGCGGACGGGUGAGUAACACGUGGAUAACCUACCUAUAAGACUGGGAUAACUUCGGGAAACCGGAGCUAAUACCGGAUAAUAUAUUGAACCGCAUGGUUCAAUAGUGAAAGACGGUUUUGCUGUAACUUAUAGAUGGAUCCGCGCCGCAUUAGCUAGUUGGUAAGGUAACGGCUUACCAAGGCAACGAUGCGUAGCCGACCUGAGAGGGUGGUCGGCCACACUGGAACUGAGACACGGUCCAGACUCCUACGGGAGGCAGCAGUAGGGAAUCUUCCGCAAUGGGCGAAAGCCUGACGGAGCAACGCCGCGUGAGUGAUGAAGGUCUUCGGAUCGUAAAACUCUGUUAUUAGGGAAGAACAAAUGUGUAAGUAACUAUGCACGUCUUGACGGUACCUAAUCAGAAAGCCACGGCUAACUACGUG
This 497-nucleotide ribosomal RNA is filed under the name uncultured bacterium. RNAcentral's name for it is "partial 16S ribosomal RNA". It matches the Rfam family "Bacterial small subunit ribosomal RNA", at positions 28 to 507 of the family's 1533-position model. The record is from RNAcentral.